GACGAACCGUCCAAACGUUAUUCGGAAUUAUUGGGCUUAAAGGGUGCGUAGGCUGUGCAGUAAGUUGGGUGUGAAAUCCCUCGGCUCAACCGAGGAACUGCGCCGAAUACUGCUGUGCUAGAGGAAGAUAGGGGUAAGCGGAACUGAUGGUGGAGCGGUGAAAUGCGUUGAUAUCGUCAGGAACACCGGUGGCGAAGGCGGCUUACUGGAUCUUUUCUGACGCUGAUGCACGAAAGCUAGGGGAGCGAACGGG
This 253-nucleotide ribosomal RNA is filed under the name uncultured bacterium. RNAcentral's name for it is "partial 16S ribosomal RNA". It matches the Rfam family "Bacterial small subunit ribosomal RNA", at positions 524 to 776 of the family's 1533-position model. The record is from RNAcentral.